AUGGAGGCCACUGUAUGUGCAACACAUGGGGCCAUGGGUUCUGUGCUACGGAAGCUGGGUGCUUUGCUCUCUGAUGAAUAUAAACUUCUCACCAGUGUGAAGGGUGAUAUCAUGUUCCUUAAAGCUGAGCUUGAGAGCAUUCAUGCUUUCCUGAAGAAGAUAUCCGAGUUUGAGGACCCUGAUGAGCUGUCCAAGUGCUGGAUUAAGGCAGUGCGGGAGCUGUCCUACGACAUCGAGGGUGGCAUUGACAGUUUCAUGCUGUCCCUGGGUGCCGAGUCCAGCCGCAAAUCCCGUGGCUGCAAGGGACUCCUGAGCAGGUGCAUGGAUUUAAUGACAAAUUCCAAGACACGCCAUCGGAUGGCCAAGAAAAUCAAAGUUCUCAAACAAAGAGCUAUUGAGGUUAGUAGUCGGCGUGUGAGGUACAAGGUUGAUGAUGUUUUCUCCAGGCCGAGUAGGACAAGCAUAGAUCCCCGCUUACCAGCAUUUUUCAUGGAGAUGACGAGGCUCAUUGGCAUCGAUGGCCCAAGGGAUAAACUCAUCAAGUUGCUAACAGAAGGGGAAUGUUCAACGGCGCAGCAGCUAAAGGUGGUGUCCAUUGUUGGAUUUGGAGGCCUUGGAAAGACUACUCUCGCUAAUCAAGUGUACCAGAAGCUCGAAGGGCAAUUUGAAUAUCAAGCUUUCGUGUCGGUGUCCCAAAAACCUGAUCUGAAGAAGAUUUUGAGAAAUAUACUCUCUCAGAUCUGCUGGCAAGAGUGCACCAGCAAUGAAGCAUGGGAUGAGCAGCAACUCAUCAACAAAAUAAGACAGUUCCUCAGGCAUAAAAGGUACUUCAUAGUAAUCGAUGAUAUAUGGGGCACACCAGUAUGGAGAACAAUCAAAUGUGCUUUUCCUGAAAAUAAUUCAUCCAGCAGAAUACUUACAACAACGCGUAUCAUCACCGUAGCCAAGUAUUGCAGCUCUCAGCACCAUGAUCGUGUGUAUGAAAUAAAGCCUCUUAGUGCAACUCACUCUAAGAGCUUAUUUUUCAAACGAGCGUUUGGCUCUGAAGGUGGAUGCCCUCUUCAACUGAGGGAAGUUUCAGAUGAAAUAUUAAAAAAAUGUGGUGGCGUGCCAUUGGCGAUCAUUACAGUAGCUAGCUUAUUGGCAAAUAAAGCUAGUACCAAAGAAGAAUGGCUGAGGAUACGGAAUUCUAUUGGUUCAGCACUUGAAAAGGAUUUAGACAUGGAAGAGAUGAAAAAAAUAUUGUUCCUUAGUUACAAUGAUCUCCCCUACCAUUUGAAGACAUGUUUGCUAUAUCUAAGUAUAUUCCCUGAAGAUUAUGAGAUCAAGAGGGAUCGGCUGGUAAGGAGAUGGAUUGCUGAAGGUUUCAUCAAUCCAGCAGGUGGACAGGAUCUGGAGGAAGUAGGAGAAGGCUAUUUCAUUGAGCUGAUCAACAGAAGCUUGAUUGAACCAGUUGAAAUCCAGUAUGAUGGUCGAGCUGAUGCUUGCCGUGUCCAUGAUAUGAUUCUUGACCUAAUAAUAUCCAAGUCAAUUGAAGAAAAUUUUGUGACAUUUUCUGGUGAUAAAAAACUCAACUCAUUGCCGUAUGAUAAGGUUCGUCGACUAUCCCUGAACUAUCAUGCUCAAGAACAUAUUAUGGUACCAUCAAACAUGAUUGUCUCUCAUGUUCGAUCCCUCACUAUCUUUGGAUGUGCUGAAGCUGAACAUAUGCUUUCUCUUUCAAAGUUUCAUUCCGUAAGAGUGCUGGAUCUAGAAAAUAGAGAGGUUUUGGAACACAAUUAUCUUAAACACAUAAGCAGGCUUUCUCAGCUGAAGUAUCUGCGACUCGAUGUAAGAAGAAUCACCGCACUUCCUGAACAAUUAGGAGAGUUGCAGAAUUUACAGACCUUAGACUUAAGAUGGACAUGGGUAAAAAAGUUGCCAGUGAAUAUUGUUCAACUACAGAAGCUGGCAUGUUUAUUGGUUAAUUGUACAGAGUUACCUGAAAGGAUUGGGAAUAUGCAAGCUCUUCGGGAACUAUCAGAGGUUGAGAUCAAUCAGAACACCUCUCCGUCUUCUUUGCAGGAGUUGGGCACACUGACCAAACUAAGGAUACUUGGUCUGAACCUGAAUUGGCACAUAAGUAAUACAAAUGGUGGCAUGAAAGCUUAUACAGAUAACUUGGUCAUGUCCCUCUGCAAACUAGGCAUGCUCAACCUUCGAACCAUACAAAUUCAAAGCUACAAUUUCUGUUCCCUUGAUUUCUUACUUGACUCUUGGUUUCCUCCUCCUCGUCUGCUACAGAGAUUUGAGAUCUCUACAGAAUACUAUUUCCCCAGAAUCCCAAAGUGGGUAGCCUCACUUGACCACCUCUCUUACCUAGGCAUCUACGUUGAUCCAGUGGAUGAGGAAACAUUCCGAAUCCUUGGGGACCUUCCAUCUCUAUUAUUUCUCUGGAUAUCUUAA
This 2445-nucleotide ribosomal RNA is filed under the name Triticum aestivum (bread wheat). RNAcentral's name for it is "partial small subunit ribosomal RNA". Lineage: Eukaryota; Viridiplantae; Streptophyta; Magnoliopsida; Poales; Poaceae. The record is from RNAcentral.